RNAcentral lists this ribosomal RNA (384 nucleotides) under uncultured bacterium. RNAcentral's name for it is "bacterial SSU rRNA". It matches the Rfam family "Bacterial small subunit ribosomal RNA", at positions 338 to 715 of the family's 1533-position model. The record is from RNAcentral.
CCUACGGGAGGCAGCAGUGGGGAAUAUUGGACAAUGGGCGCAAGCCUGAUCCAGCAAUACCGCGUGUGUGAAGAAGGCCUGAGGGUUGUAAAGCACUUUCAAUGGGAAGGAAUACCUAUCGGUUAAUACCCGGUAGACUGACAUUACCCAUACAAGAAGCACCGGCUAACUCCGUGCCAGCAGCCGCGGUAAUACGGAGGGUGCAAGCGUUAAUCGGAAUUACUGGGCGUAAAGCGUGCGUAGGCGGUUUUUUAAGUCAGAUGUGAAAGCCCUGGGCUUAACCUGGGAACUGCAUUUGAUACUGGAAAACUAGAGUUGAGUAGAGGAGAGUGGAAUUUCAGGUGUAGCGGUGAAAUGCGUAGAGAUCGGAAGGAACACCAGUGG